AGCAAACACUAAUAGGUUUUACGUGACAGAAACCCUAUUCAAACUGACUUAACAAAAAGGACAGUGAUUGCAUGAGAUGGGAAUGUGCCAGCGCCUUAGGAGGAAUCAGAACCAGACACUCAAAUGGUACUAAAAUCCUGGAAGGUGGGUCUACUUUGGCCCCUAUCCAUUGACAUCUCAGUGCUUUGGUGAGGACAGUUCAUCCAUGGAAUAUUUCAGAGAAGAGAAUCAAUAACUGCACAAGGAAUCACAUUCUGAUGUGGGUACCUAUAGGUAAAGAAAAUUGGGAUGAACAUUGAUGAACCAGUGAUCUAGUCGUUGAAUCUUUGAGAAAAUGGAAUUGGCGAAGAUAUGUAAUAUGCUUUUAAAAAGCCGAAUCUCGGAUGACUUCAGGGCUCACGGCUUGGCUAACCGCCCAAGCAGUUCUUCUGGAAACUGGUUCUUUGACCUUGGUGACUUCUGUGGUUCAACCUGCCUGUUCUGUUGGCCCUGAGUCCAGACACCUGCCACACUGCGGUCAAUGUGACAUUGCUAUCAGCUGAACGCUGACCCCUUCCAGCUUGUUGGUGACACUGUGGCCACAGGAAAUAAUGAGCUGAGAGUGUUUUCAUAAUCAGAUUCAUUUGAAAGCAA
Molecule: long non-coding RNA, 633 nt
Filed under: Capra hircus (goat)
Lineage: Eukaryota; Metazoa; Chordata; Mammalia; Artiodactyla; Bovidae
Description: lncRNA (ENSCHIG00000001507.1)
Source: RNAcentral